Molecule: ribosomal RNA, 303 nt
Filed under: Triticum aestivum (bread wheat)
Lineage: Eukaryota; Viridiplantae; Streptophyta; Magnoliopsida; Poales; Poaceae
Description: partial small subunit ribosomal RNA
Source: RNAcentral
AUGUUCUCUGAGCUUCUCCAGAACCAAGCGCAGAUGUUCAGUGUGUUCCUCCUCAUUCUUGGAGAAAACCAAUAUGUCAUCAAUGAAUACCACAACGAACUUAUCCAAGAACUCCAUGAACACCUUGUUCAUCAUGCUCAUAAAAUAGGCAGGGGCAUUAGUCAAACCAAAGGACAUGACUGUAUACUCAUAAAGCCCAUACCUUGUAGUAAAAGCUGUCUUGGGUAUAUCCUUCUCACGGAUCUUCAAUUGGUGAUAACCCGAUCAAAGAUCGAUCUUGGAGAAAACACUAGCUCCUUCUAG